Molecule: ribosomal RNA, 497 nt
Filed under: uncultured bacterium
Lineage: Bacteria
Description: partial 16S ribosomal RNA
Rfam family: Bacterial small subunit ribosomal RNA
Source: RNAcentral
GAUGAACGCUGGCGGCGUGCCUAAUACAUGCAAGUCGAGCGAACGGACGAGAAGCUUGCUUCUCUGAUGUUAGCGGCGGUCGGGUGAGUAACACGUGGAUAACCUACCUGUAAGACUGGGAUAACUUCGGGAAACCGGAUCUAAUACCGGAUGAUAUUUUGAACCUCAUGGUUCAAAAGUGAAAGACGGUCUUGCUGUCACUUAUAGCUGGAUCCACGCUGCAUUAGCUAGUUGGUAAGGUAACGGCUUACCAAGGCAGCGAGGCAUAGCCGACCUGAGAGGGUGAUAGGCCACACUGGAAGUGAGACACGGUCCAGACUCCUACGGGAGGCAUCAGUAGGGAAUCUUACGCAAUGGGCGAAAGGCUGACGGAGCAACGCCGCGUGAGUGAUGAAGGUCUUCGGAUCGUAAAACUCUGUUAUUAGGGAAGAACAUAUGUGUAAGUAACUGUGCACAUCUUGACGGUACCUAAUCAGAAAGCAACGGCUAACUACGUG